AGGCGAAACGCCCCAUUGGGGCGUCCGGGGAGGGUGGCGCCCCCCCGCUGAUGAGCCAGCCAAUG
Molecule: non-coding RNA, 65 nt
Filed under: Streptomyces hoynatensis
Lineage: Bacteria; Bacillati; Actinomycetota; Actinomycetes; Kitasatosporales; Streptomycetaceae
Source: RNAcentral